This 327-nucleotide long non-coding RNA is filed under the name Sorghum bicolor (sorghum). RNAcentral's name for it is "long non-coding RNA (SBIC_LNC000221)". The record is from RNAcentral. Lineage: Eukaryota; Viridiplantae; Streptophyta; Magnoliopsida; Poales; Poaceae.
UUAUAUAAAGUAGGAAAUUUUUACACCCUUGCAAACUAUUGGAAAACAGAUACUAAUAUUUUUCCAUUGUUCUAUUCCUUUUAGGGAAGCUCUACAAAAAUUCCUAUGAUUUUUGAAUCAACACAGGAUUUAUUACACAAUUUCAAAUAUAAAACAAAAACUGCAUAAAAGAAAAAAAAGAAAAGACAUUGCAGCGGGUGGCCGGAUUUCGGCCCGCAGGCCGGCCCGCUUCGGCUCGGCCCGCGCGGACGCUGCGCACGCCGCCUUCUCUCCGCGCGUCCGCUGACGAGCGGGGCCUGCUCGUCAGGCCCCUCCCCCCUUCCAGCG